RNAcentral lists this ribosomal RNA (119 nucleotides) under Simulium damnosum. RNAcentral's name for it is "5.8S rRNA". It matches the Rfam family "5.8S ribosomal RNA", at positions 1 to 121 of the family's 154-position model. From Rfam's summary of the family: 5.8S ribosomal RNA (5.8S rRNA) is a component of the large subunit of the eukaryotic ribosome. It is transcribed by RNA polymerase I as part of the 45S precursor that also contains 18S and 28S rRNA. Functionally, it is thought that 5.8S rRNA may be involved in ribosome translocation. Lineage: Eukaryota; Metazoa; Arthropoda; Insecta; Diptera; Simuliidae. The record is from RNAcentral.
AUCCUAGACAGGGGAUCACUAGGCUCAUGGGGUCGAUGAAGACCGCAGCUAACUGCGUGUUGUCAUGUGAACUGCAGGACACAUGAACAUCGACAAGUUGAACGCAUAUCGCACUUCUU